This 1410-nucleotide ribosomal RNA is filed under the name Curtobacterium flaccumfaciens pv. beticola. RNAcentral describes it as "bacterial SSU rRNA". It matches the Rfam family "Bacterial small subunit ribosomal RNA". The record is from RNAcentral. Lineage: Bacteria; Bacillati; Actinomycetota; Actinomycetes; Micrococcales; Microbacteriaceae.
ACACAUGCAAGUCGAACGAUGAUGCCCAGCUUGCUGGGUGGAUUAGUGGCGAACGGGUGAGUAACACGUGAGUAACCUGCCCCUGACUCUGGGAUAAGCGUUGGAAACGACGUCUAAUACUGGAUAUGAUCACUGGCCGCAUGGUCUGGUGGUGGAAAGAUUUUUUGGUUGGGGAUGGACUCGCGGCCUAUCAGCUUGUUGGUGAGGUAAUGGCUCACCAAGGCGACGACGGGUAGCCGGCCUGAGAGGGUGACCGGCCACACUGGGACUGAGACACGGCCCAGACUCCUACGGGAGGCAGCAGUGGGGAAUAUUGCACAAUGGGCGAAAGCCUGAUGCAGCAACGCCGCGUGAGGGAUGACGGCCUUCGGGUUGUAAACCUCUUUUAGUAGGGAAGAAGCGAAAGUGACGGUACCUGCAGAAAAAGCACCGGCUAACUACGUGCCAGCAGCCGCGGUAAUACGUAGGGUGCAAGCGUUGUCCGGAAUUAUUGGGCGUAAAGAGCUCGUAGGCGGUUUGUCGCGUCUGCUGUGAAAUCCCGAGGCUCAACCUCGGGCUUGCAGUGGGUACGGGCAGACUAGAGUGCGGUAGGGGAGAUUGGAAUUCCUGGUGUAGCGGUGGAAUGCGCAGAUAUCAGGAGGAACACCGAUGGCGAAGGCAGAUCUCUGGGCCGUAACUGACGCUGAGGAGCGAAAGCAUGGGGAGCGAACAGGAUUAGAUACCCUGGUAGUCCAUGCCGUAAACGUUGGGCGCUAGAUGUAGGGACCUUUCCACGGUUUCUGUGUCGUAGCUAACGCAUUAAGCGCCCCGCCUGGGGAGUACGGCCGCAAGGCUAAAACUCAAAGGAAUUGACGGGGGCCCGCACAAGCGGCGGAGCAUGCGGAUUAAUUCGAUGCAACGCGAAGAACCUUACCAAGGCUUGACAUACACCGGAAACGGCCAGAGAUGGUCGCCCCCUUGUGGUCGGUGUACAGGUGGUGCAUGGUUGUCGUCAGCUCGUGUCGUGAGAUGUUGGGUUAAGUCCCGCAACGAGCGCAACCCUCGUUCUAUGUUGCCAGCGGGUUAUGCCGGGGACUCAUAGGAGACUGCCGGGGUCAACUCGGAGGAAGGUGGGGAUGACGUCAAAUCAUCAUGCCCCUUAUGUCUUGGGCUUCACGCAUGCUACAAUGGCCGGUACAAAGGGCUGCGAUACCGUAAGGUGGAGCGAAUCCCAAAAAGCCGGUCUCAGUUCGGAUUGAGGUCUGCAACUCGACCUCAUGAAGUCGGAGUCGCUAGUAAUCGCAGAUCAGCAACGCUGCGGUGAAUACGUUCCCGGGCCUUGUACACACCGCCCGUCAAGUCAUGAAAGUCGGUAACACCCGAAGCCGGUGGCCUAACCCGUGUGGAAGGAGCCGUCGAAGGUGGGAUCGG